Molecule: ribosomal RNA, 492 nt
Filed under: uncultured bacterium
Lineage: Bacteria
Description: partial 16S ribosomal RNA
Rfam family: Bacterial small subunit ribosomal RNA
Source: RNAcentral
AGUGAACGCUGGCGGUAGGCCUAACACAUGCAAGUCGAACGGCAGCACAGUAAGAGCUUGCUCUUACGGGUGGCGAGUGGCGGACGGGUGAGGAAUACAUCGGAAUCUACUUUUUCGUGGGGGAUAACGUAGGGAAACUUACGCUAAUACCGCAUACGACCUACGGGUGAAAGCAGGGGAUCUUCGGACCUUGCGCGAUUGAAUGAGCCGAUGUCGGAUUAGCUAGUUGGCGGGGUAAAGGCCCACCAAGGCGACGAUCCGUAGCUGGUCUGAGAGGAUGAUCAGCCACACUGGAACUGAGACACGGUCCAGACUCCUACGGGAGGCAGCAGUGGGGAAUAUCGGACAAUGGGCGCAAGCCUGAUCCAGCCAUACCGCGUGGGUGAAGAAGGCCUUCGGGUUGUAAAGCCCUUUUGUUGGGAAAGAGAAGCAGCAGGUUAAUACCCCGCUGUUCUGACGGUACCCAAAGAAUAAGCACCGGCUAACUUCGUG